UCAUCGAAUCUUUGAACGCACAUUGCGCCCGGUGGUAUUCCGCCGGGCAUGCCUGUUCGAGCGUCAUUAUAACCACUCAAGCCUUGGCUUGGUAUUGGGGUUCGCGGUUCCGCGGCCCUUAAAAUCAGUGGCGGUGCCGGUGGGCUCUAAGCGUAGUAAAUCUCCUCGCUAUAGGGUCCCUCCGGUUGCCUGCCAGAACCCCCCAUUUUUUCAGGUUGACCUCGGAUCAGGUAGGGAUACCCGCUGAACUUAAGCAUAUCAAUAAGCGGAGGAAAAGAAACCAACAGGGAUUACCUCAGUAACGGCGAGUGAAGCGGUAAUAGCUCAAAUUUGAAAGCUGCCAACAGGCCGCGUUGUAAUUUGUAGAAGAUGCUUUGGGGGUCGGCCUAGUCUAAGUUCCUUGGAACAGGACGUCAUAGAGGGUGAGAAUCCCGUAUGUGAUUAGUGCCGGCUCCCGUGUAAAGCUCUUUCGACGAGUCGAGUUGUUUGGGAAUGCAGCUCAAAAUGGGUGGUAUAUUUCAUCUAAAGCUAAAUAUUGGCCAGAGACCGAUAGCGCACAAGUAGAGUGAUCGAAAGAUGAAAAGCACUUUGGAAAGAGAGUUAAACAGUACGUGAAAUUGUUGAAAGGGAAGCGCUUGCAACCAGACUUGCAGGCGGUCGAUCAUCCGAGGUUCUCCCCGGUGCACUCGAUCGUCUUCAGGCCAGCAUCGGUUUUGGUGGCGGGAUAAAGGCUCUAGGAAUGUGGCUCUUCGGAGUGUUAUAGCCUAGGGUGCAAUGCCGCCUACCGGGACCGAGGACCGCGCUUCGGCUAGGAUGCUGGCGUAAUGGUUGUAAGCGGCCCGUCUUGAAACACGGACCAAGGAGUCUAACAUCUAUGCGAGUGUUUGGGUGUCAAACCCAUACGCGUAAUGAAAGUGAACGGAGGUGAGAGCCCUUUAGGGCGCAUCAUCGACCGAUCCUGAUGUCUUCGGAUGGAUUUGAGUAAGAGCAUAGCUGUUGGGACCCGAAAGAUGGUGAACUAUGCGUGAAUAGGGUGAAGCCAGAGGAAACUCUGGUGGAGGCUCGCAGCGGUUCUGACGUGCAAAUCGAUCGUCAAAUUUGCGUAUAGGGGCGAAAGACUAAUCGAACCAUCUAGUAGCUGGUUCCUGCCGAAGUUUCCCUCAGGAUAGCAGUGUUGUUUUCAGUUUUAUGAGGUAAAGCGAAUGAUUAGAGGCCUUGGGGUUGAAACAACCUUAACCUAUUCUCAAACUUUAAAUAUGUAAGAAGUCCUUGUUGCUUAA
This 1280-nucleotide ribosomal RNA is filed under the name Phialocephala bamuru. Its description in RNAcentral is "eukaryotic LSU rRNA". The stretch from base 217 to 1280 matches the Rfam family "Eukaryotic large subunit ribosomal RNA", at positions 1 to 1094 of the family's 3401-position model. Lineage: Eukaryota; Fungi; Ascomycota; Leotiomycetes; Helotiales; Mollisiaceae. The record is from RNAcentral.